Molecule: ribosomal RNA, 239 nt
Filed under: Schmidingerella taraikaensis
Lineage: Eukaryota; Ciliophora; Spirotrichea; Tintinnida; Rhabdonellidae
Description: partial Bacterial large subunit ribosomal RNA
Rfam family: Bacterial large subunit ribosomal RNA
Source: RNAcentral
UGUCGGGUAAGUUCCGACCUGCACGAAUGGCGUAACGAUUUCCCCACUGUCUCCAACAUCGACUCAGCGAAAUUGAAUUCUCCGUGAAGAUGCGGAGUACCCGCGGUCAGACGGAAAGACCCCGUGCACCUUUACUACAGCUUCGCACUGGCAUCAGGAUUGUGACGUGCAGGAUAGGUGGUAGGCAUCGAAACCGAGACGCUAGUCUCGGUGGAGCCUCCCUUGAGAUACCACCCUUC